This 1454-nucleotide ribosomal RNA is filed under the name metagenome. Its description in RNAcentral is "bacterial LSU rRNA". It matches the Rfam family "Bacterial large subunit ribosomal RNA", at positions 1442 to 2925 of the family's 2925-position model. The record is from RNAcentral.
UACUGCUUAUGGACAGAACUGUGGGGACGCAGAAGGAGAGCACGAGCCGGAAAUGGAAAAGCCGGUACAAGCGUAUAGCAGUCAUGCAGGCAAAACCGCAUGAAAAAUGUAAAGCGUUAUGUGGAUCGAACAUUAGUAGAGAAGCGUGUGAGCCAGCUGCCAAGAAAAGCCGCUAUUGUUUCAUAAGUACCCGUACCGUAAACCGACACAGGUGGAUGAGGAGAGAAUCCUAAGGCCGGCGGGAGAAGUGUUGUUAAGGAACUCGGCAAAAUGACUCCGUAACUUCGGGAGAAGGAGUGCCACAGAGAUGUGGCCGCAGAGAAAUGGCCCAAGCAACUGUUUAGCAAAAACACAGGUCUAUGCAAAACCGAAAGGUGAGGUAUAUGGGCUGACGCCUGCCCGGUGCUGGAAGGUUAAGAGGAGAGGUUAGAGCAAUCGAAGCUUUGAAUUUAAGCCCCAGUAAACGGCGGCCGUAACAAUAACGGUCCUAAGGUAGCGAAAUUCCUUGUCGGGUAAGUUCCGACCCGCACGAAAGGCGUAAUGAUUUGGGCACUGUCUCAACAACACACCCGGUGAAAUUGAAAUACCAGUGAAGAUGCUGGUUACCUGCGCCAGGACGGAAAGACCCCAUGGAGCUUUACUCCAGUUUGAUACUGGGAUUCGGUACUGUCUGUACAGGAUAGGUGGGAGGCUAGGAAAUGGUGACGCCAGUUGCCAUGGAGCCAACCUUGGGAUACCACCCUUACAGUACUGGGUUUCUAACCUGCAGCCGUAACCCGGCUGGGGGACAAUGUCUGACGGGGAGUUUGACUUGGGCGGUCGCCUCCGAAAGAGUAUCGGAGGCGCUCAAAGGUUCCCUCAGAACGGUUGGAAACCGUUCGAAGAGUGCAAAGGCAGAAGGGAGCUUGACUGCGACACCGACGGGUGGAGCAGAUACGAAAGUAGGACUUAGUGAUCCGGUGGUAUAAAGUGGGAUUGCCAUCGCUCAACGGAUAAAAGCUACCCUGGGAUAACAGGCUUAUCACUCCCAAGAGUUCACAUCGACGGAGUGGUUUGGCACCUCGAUGUCGGCUCAUCGCAUCCUGGAGCUUUAGCAGGUUCCAAGGGUUGGGCUGUUCGCCCAUUAAAGCGGUACGCGAGCUGGGUUCAGAACGUCGUGAGACAGUUCGGUCCCUAUCCGGCGUGGGCGUAGGAUAUUUGAGAGGAGCUGUCCUUAGUACGAGAGGACCGGGAUGGACAAACCUCUGGUGUAUCUGUUGUUUUACCAAAGGCAUGGCAGAGUAGCCAAGUUUGGCAGGGAUAAACGCUGAAGGCAUCUAAGCGUGAAGCCCCCCUCAAGAUAAGAUAUCCCAUCUUCGGAGUAAGACCCCUUGAAGACUACAAGGUUGAUAGGCUUCAGGUGUAAGUGUGGUAACGCACUCAGCUGAGAAGUACUAAUAGGUCGAGGACUUAUC